UACAGAGGCCCCAAGCGUUACCCGGAUUUAUUGGGCGUAAAGGGUGCGUAGGUGGUUUUAUUAGUCUGUUGUCAAAACUCCCGGCUUAACCGGGAACUCGCAACGGAAACGGUAGAACUAGAGGAUGUGAGGGGUGUGUGGAACUCAAGGUGUAGGGGUGAAAUCCGUUGAUAUCUUGGGGAACACCAAAAGCGAAGGCAGCACACUGGCACAUUCCUGACACUGAAGCACGAAAGCGUGGGUAGCGAAU
RNAcentral lists this ribosomal RNA (250 nucleotides) under uncultured bacterium. Its description in RNAcentral is "partial 16S ribosomal RNA". It matches the Rfam family "Bacterial small subunit ribosomal RNA", at positions 524 to 773 of the family's 1533-position model. The record is from RNAcentral.